Molecule: long non-coding RNA, 13641 nt
Filed under: Xyrichtys novacula (pearly razorfish)
Lineage: Eukaryota; Metazoa; Chordata; Actinopteri; Labriformes; Labridae
Source: RNAcentral
GAGAUAUAUUUUUUUACAAGUAGUCUAAGAUAAACAGUAAAGCUAUCCUAGAGGACCCAGUGGAGGAAAGAAAACAACAUCAGGUAUCUAAUGUGUGUCAGAAGGAGGAUAAUGGAAAGGGGGGCUGUUAUGACUCAAGAAUGAUGCUUCUAAAUCAGGGGUCUCAAACUUAACCACAGCAAGGGUCAUAAUCUGGAUUUAGGUCUAGCCUGAGGGCAAAACAGGGUCAACAUUUCACCAAAACUUUCAACCUCCUUUUCAAAAAAUAUGUAACAAAAACAGCAAUGAUUAUAAAUCAUUUAGAAAUUAAAAAAAGAUAAGUUUAAAGGCAAUCUGAAAUAGAAAAAUUUAAUUUAUUUUAAUUUUGUAUUCUAUUUUUAUUUAUUGUUAAAAAGAUCAGGGUAUGAUAUUAAAAAUAGAAAAAUAAUGGUUUUAAAGAGCAAAUACAUGAAAUCAGAUUUAAAAGGUCAAAAUUAGACUUAAAAUUUUAAAUUGGAAUCUAAAGUAUAAAAAUGACACAGGUCUAAAUACUGAGUUGAACAAAAUCAAAGCAUAAAAAUAAAAAAUCCAAUCAUGUUUGACUUGUAAUCCUAAAAUGCAAAAUUGAAAACAUGAAAUAAAACACCAAAUAUUUCCCCCCUACAUUCUUGACUAUUUAUCAAAUCGUCCUUACUCUUUAGAUUUUUGUGGUUUAUUAAGGACAUUUUAAACAAUGGUGCUAAAGUUUACAUUAUUAUACUGAAGGAAAUCUGCAGACUUCAUACUGGUAGGCCUAUAAUAAUACAAAUAUGAUAUGAUCUUGUGGGCCAGAUAUAAUUGUUCCACGAGUUUGACACCUGUGUUCUAAAUAAGAACUUCACAAUGAACCCUCAGAUAUUAGUUGUAAUGUUCUACAUUAUUCUUGGAGUCUUUAGGAGACAGAUUGGGCUGGUGCAGAGUGUGUUACAGUGUGUUAACACUGUGUUACAUGCAUAGACUGAAUGGAUACAUGCCAUUGGCUGAAUUCACAUUUCGUUACCAGGGUUACUAGAAGUGGGCGCAACCCAUGUGCCAAGGCUGUAAUGACGUCACUGCACCACCUGUCCCGGAUAAACAAUCAAGCGCCCCCUCCACCUUGAAACUUUGCGACCGGAAUUUAAGUUUUUUUUUGCUUUAUUUCGCAAAUAUUAGUUGGACAAAUUUACCAUAAAUUACACGAGGUACCGAUAACGUAUCGCGUUAUUUUUGUAUCGGUAGAAAUCGGAAGGGAGUGGAAAACGUCGACAGCGGAGGCCCCCCAAGUGAGGAUGUUAAUGUUAUGAUUCCAUUGCGGAUGGAGGUCUGUCCUCACCAGCGACAGAAAAACUGUGAGUAGGCGUCAUUAACUGAGAGUUGGUUACUGCUGUUCCCCCUGCUGAGAAAUCAGUGCAGGCUUCACUGCGUGCUUCUGUAUGCAUAUGAAGAUUACUCCUCUUUGUUUUGAAGUAUUUAACUCCAGCAGCGCUACAGCCUGUUCAGGCCAAGUCUUCAGUAAACAAAGAUACUUUUCUUGUGGUUACUGUGACUUAAUUUUUGACUGUUUGGAAAUCUUAGGGGACUGUUUUUAUGCUGUUUUAUGUAGUUUAUGAUUAAGGGAUUAAUUCUGCUGCUACCUGUUGAAGUGAGGAGCAUUUAGGCAGAAGAGCUGACUACACAUGUACUGACAGUGCAGUGUAUAAAUACUGAACAAUGUAGGUAGUAGUAGUUUAUUCAGUCAUGACAACACCAGAUAAUGUUCUCAAUAUUGACAUUUCACACAAAAUCACUAAAUCAAGAAUCAUGUGUUGAUUAUUGACUGAAAAGGCAUAGGCAGAAGCAGACUGCUUAUAAAAGCCUAUCCUGUAUUGUCGACCUACAUAAAAGCAAAGAAACCACAACAACGGAUUAUUAAUCACACUUAUAAGCUUCAAAAAUAGCUUUACAAACCAUUUUCUUAAAAAAGAAAAUUUCUGUUUUUAGAUUUAUGUUUGCAUCAUUCUAGAAUUUAACUCCAGUAAUGGAGACACAUCUCCUUUUCAUACCUUUUUUUAGCUUUUUGUACAGUAAAUUUGCAAGCACCUCUGAGAUUUUGCUCUAAACAUAAUUUGCAUAGCUCGUUUUUGCAGUUUUAUUAUUGAAUUUAUAGUGGUUUUAAAGAUGGAUCCCCACAGUUCCACACAGUAUGAUAUAUAGGGAACAAUCAAUGAGUAGUAGAUCAAAUGCAAGGCCUUUGAAUUCAAUAUUUUUCUCGAUUUUGAAUUAUGUAUUCAAUAUGUUCUUUUCUCCUUCAUUGGUGCAGGUGAAAAUAAGGUAAUGUGGAUAAAUUAAUUGAUAAAUAACAUUGACAGCCAUAAUUAAAACACUAUCUUGCACAUUUGCACACUCUUUCAUAUUGCAUAUUGUCAUGUGCUGCACAUUUGCAGAUGGAUUAUAGUUUUAUACUUUUUUCUGCAGUGCUAUUUUUGAGUGUAAGAUUACAUAGUAAUGAUGGUUGGUUUUUGAAUUUUAAAAAAUCACCUUUGCUUUGAAAUAUUUGAAAGAAUUUAUUUCCACUAUAUUUAAAAUAGCAUUGGUGCUUCAGUUUAAAGCUAAAGUCAAAUAUGCAGGCUUUCAAUCACCUGGUUGUGUUACAGCUAUGUGAUUUGCUGACAUCUACCUCCUGCCUGUUCAGCAAACAAAUUCAUCAGAACAGAUGGACAUGCAUGCUUGAGUUCAGGGUCAGUGACUCAUUGGUGGGACAUUGCUUUCUCAAAUCCUCCUCCAGGUAGACAGCCAGCUGUAACCUGAUUUUUUAACGGGCUUUUAUGGAAACUCAAAACAACUUAAAUUUGCUUGUUUGCAGAAGACAAAGUGCUCCUCAGUGCUUGAAGUAGAUGAUAAAAUGAAGUUAAUUUUUUCUUUUACUAAGGCAUAAUGACUUUGACAUAAGUAAUACUUCAUCUGAGUAACGCUGAUAUUUCAGCACUCUUUCCACCCUAUUAUAAAAGACACAAAAUAAGAACACAAUUACUAAUAACUAGUUUGUCUCUGACAUAGACUGAGCUGGCUUCUUUUAUAUUGACACUGAAAAAUGAGUUACUCCUCUACCAACUAUUCAGUCAAACUUUAAUCGUUUAAAACUUUUAUUACAAGUCAAUUUAACCUCCUUCCAAAGUGAUGAAGUGGAUAAAUAAAUAUGCAAUCUAUGAAACUCUAAUUAACUAAGACAUUAAACAAGAACAGGAAUGUGGGAAUCAUUACUUUAGAGUGAGGAAACACCGCAGACAAACUUAAUCAGAGUCCAUUUUUUUUAUCUGAUAUUUGCAAGGCACUAUGUACGAUAAGAAACAUAGAUUUUAUAAGUAAGUGUGUCAUUUGAUAGUCAGCUUCAAGUUAUUUGUUAGUUUGGCAGGUCUUAAAUUAAACAUCGACAUAGACUGCAGAUUAAAAACUCACUUCUGAAACUUCUUUUUAUAUAAUCUAAAAAAAUCAAGUGUCUCCUGUGAAAAUAUUAGUUGACAGGUGAAUAUAGUCCCAUUAAAAUCACAGUUUAGUCACUUUCUCCAGAGAAAGAUGAUCGUUAAAGUUGAAGUCUGACUUGCAGGACGUGUUUCCACUUUUCGCUUCUAACUUUUAUGAAGUGUAAACAACAUCUCGUUUUGAUUUUUCAAACCGAAAGACAAUUUCAGCGAUAAUGCUUCUCUGUUUAGGUGUUUUUCCUGCAUCUGCACCUGUUUUACAGCUGUAGGAUUUGACGACUGAGAGCAUAACAACAAACAAAUUUAGAGGAGGAGAAGAGGAAGCGAGAGAUAGAGAGAGGUGAACAUCUGGAUGGGAGGAAAUUACAGAUGGAGAGGGUAGAAGGCAUGAAGCAGAGGGAAUUAAGGGAAAGAUAUAAUGAGCUUGAGGAUGAAAAGUCGACCGUGGUGGGUGGAGAAUUCCUCAUUUAGCGCUGUUCUCCUGUCUCCUAAUGCUCGAGCUGGAGAUUUAGCCAGACAGAAUUAGACAGAAUGGCUAAAAACAAUCUUAUUAGCAGAAAGAUUGAGAGGAAAUGUUCGACUGUCUUUCUGAUAUUUCACAGUGAGGCAUUAGCUUUUGGGUUCUGUAACCACGGAGCAGUAACAGUAGGGCUGCUGCUUGCUUUUAUGCGUUUUUUUUUUGGAAAUGAUAAGGGAAUAGCAGCACCUUAUUCCAUUAAGAGUUGUCUGUUUAAAGGACAGACUAACUAGGUUUUUGUGUUGGCUCUCAGCCGUCCCGCCUGAGAAGUGAGGCGUCUUGCAGUCAGCCAAAAUGCUGAAAUAUCUCUGGUGGCUCAGCAGUACUCAGGCCGGGUUCCUGUCUGCGCAUAAUGUCACCGUGUCAGCUUAGAGAGGUUCAGCAGCUCAUCAAGACUCAGUAAAACUCCAAGUGGAGGAAACAGGGAAAAUGUGACGUCGGUGUCUUCCAAUUUGGGUCCGCAGAGAGGCGACUGAAAUGUAGAGCUUGGGCUGCAGAAGUCCUCGGUGACUCUGCACAUGCACGCUACUGUAAUUAGCGGAUUUAAGUCUGGAUUGGCCUAGUUCAUAGUCAUCCCUCUUUGAAGUCGAGCAAUGCUUACUCAGUGUCACAGACUGGAGUUAGACAAAAAAAAUAUCCCAACCUUCUCAGUUGAAAUCAGGACUGACUCAAAUAAAUUCCUGACUUCAGGGCUGUUGUCCGACAUUGUUUGCUAUCAUCUCUGGCUCAUUUUGUCUGAGGUCUUUUGGAUUUUUGAACAUUUAGGCCUAUUUUUCAUAUUUUUUCACUCAACCAACCCACCACAGUUGGAGUUUUGCUUGUUGGUUUCUUUUUCUUCCUAGUGCUGUUUGUGAGAUUGUCAGACUUCAAGGGCGGUGCUUUUAUCUUGAAAAGCUCCAACCCCAUUGCAUAUAACACCUCAAAAUGACAGACUUCUCUUUAUCCUUGACAAGCCAUUUAUCAACCAUUUGGCCGUUCAGUCCAGAUCUGUUAAAACUUAUCUUUUUACUCUUUUGAGAGAAAAUGACACCUUUUCUAUAACAUUGAUAACAUCAUUUGUAUGUACUUGCUGCCAGUAUUAUACUUCGUCAUUUUUGUCAUUAACUUUCCAGUUUUCAAAUAUUCUAUCUUUCAAAUACAUUGUGUCCCAUUUAAGAGCAGUAUUGACACCGCACACAUUGCUUUAUAUGCUCAUAGAUUUCUUCCCAACACGUUUUAAUAACAUGGCAAUCCCAGAGUGGAUGGUAGCGAUUGAUUUCCUCUAUCCCACAGUCUCCAAAAAGCAUCAGCACUACUCUGAUACCGGUUCUUGAAGGGUGUAACAAGAAAUCUGAUGAUGUUUGUCCAGCAGAUCUCACGCCACAUGUUUGCCCCCAAGACAGUAUUUUACUCUCAAUGAUGGGACUAUGUGUUAAUAGUUGGCGUCUUUGUAUUUAUAUUUAUUAAGAGGUUCAAAACGUUUCGAAUAGCUUCAGUAAAGCAGAAUCUGGCUGCAGUGGCACAACAUCUUCAGCCAGUUAGUUCACAUUGAAACUUGCUUUAAAGAUGGGGUAGGCAGGAUCUGAGGAAGUGCCAGUUUAUGGGAGAAAUGUUGAAUGUAAACUGACGCUCCUGCUCGCUCGUAUUGUUCCUAUUAAAUUCAGAUAUAAUGCAGAUAAAUACUUCAGAUAAUUACAAAUGGGGUCCAGUCAACAUGAAAGUAAAAAGCAUAGGUGCUACUGUAGAUGCCAAUAGACUACCAGCAAACACAAAGUUUGCAGGACUUUUACAACUAGGAUAAAGUGACAAACUCCAGGACCCGAGGUAAACAGUUUAGCGGCGCUACGACACGCAGCAGGUCCUAUUUGACAAGAAACACUUCUGUUACAGACACUUGGCUUACUUUGUUAAAGUGGUUUACCUGUCCAGCGUCCCCCAUCAUUGUUGACCUGGCUUUUUAGCUCUUGUCCGGUCUACCGCCUUUGUACGUGCCCGUUAUCCCCCCAGAGUCUCCGGUAUUUACUGUUUUCUUGCUUGUGUCAGUGGUCGUGGCCAAAGUAGGAUUCAGACAAUUUUCUGUACUUUCUGGUUGGUUUCUGCUGUCUGAUAUUGUAGCACGCUAACUUUGUUUGAGCUCCUGAACGACACGGGGGAACAGCGUCCGCCUCACAACCAAUCAUGUCAGGGGAGGCGGGGAAUGGCUUUGUUUACAGUCAGAAAGAGCGGAGCGCUCUGAAAUUUUAAAAUGUUGACUACACAGACACAACAAAACACAGCAAUAUCAUUAUAUUACAAAAUGUCAUCAAUAACUAAUAGCUAUUGACUGAUAUUAAUGGCUUUUUUGUAUAUACACCACAAAAAAGAUGCUUCUUUAACGGAUUCCUGACACCAAUCUGCUAGCUGAAUGUGUAUACUUUCCUGGACAAACUAAAAUCAUUCACAUCUCCCCAAAGCACAGAUUGACAACCAUUACGGCCUUUUUCAUGGCUGCACACAGAAGCAUCCAUCAGAGCAUGUAGAUAACUUUUUGCCUGUUAGUUACUGAAACUACUAAAUUUAAAAAAGCCUCAGUUUGAAAAGCCAUGUCUAAACAUUUUAAGGAUGUAUUGUUCAUUGUAGACCUUUAAUAACAGAUAUCUUCGGUUGACUUAUUUUCUUACAGUAGAAGACUGUUAGUUCAGAUCAGACUCCUUUAUUCAGCCUGAAACUCAAAGUUUGAAAACAGCUCCACAUGACUUUGACGAAUGACUAUAAUUUAAAAUAUAAUUGCAUGACUGUCACAACAUGUACAAAAUGAAUUCCAAAGAGACGUUAUGAAGUGAAAACAGUUCCCUCUGUUGUCACUCUCGCUUCUCAGUGGAGGCUCGGCAGGAACAUUUAAACAGCUCUGAUAAUUCACUUCCUCUCUCUGCAGAAUCUCUGCGUUUCGUCAUUAUUCUUCAUGGCUUUAUUCCUCCUCUGCUCAUUUUCACCCUGCCUUUUUAUUUCCCCUGAUGUGUCUCUCUCUGUAAAGUUUGGAGCAUUAUUGUGGAGCAUGUUUGAGGAAAAUGCAACACGUAAUUUAAUGCAUUUGGACCGUUUAAAUUCACAGCAGAUGAUAAUCACAUCUCCUGAAGCAAUACCAAUAACACAUUUUUAAAUUAUAACCCUCCUGUUUCAGCUAAACUAAUAGAUGAUAUACGGCAGAGAUCUUAAUCUGUUUUUUUCAUAGAAGCCUGUUCACGUCUCUACUUCUGUAAACUUUUCUCAAAGUUUUCCUCCUAGUUUAAACUCAUUUAAUCCUUGAAACUUUGGUCUGUGACAGAUUUUCUGAAGAAGGCUCUUUGUUUGUGUUCUCUUGAUGACAAUAACGCCUGAAUCGAGUGCAAACUGACAAAAAACAAUGACUGGAGGACAAGCCGUGAGGAAGGAAAAGACAAAAGAAGGAUUUUGACAAAGAAAAGUGUCGCCCACAGUCUGCUGGAAGUGAUUGACAGUAAAGAUCAUUGGCUGGUAGACGAAAUUGACGAGAUGUGCAGAAUAAACGUCAGACAGCAGAUUUAGGGGAAUUGGACUGUAUGCCUGACUGCUUUACACACUGAUAGAAUUAAAGGCUUCACUAGACACAAUAUUCAUGAGGAAGUCAAUCCAUCUUACUGACCUUAAUUAUAAAAUCAGACUCCAACUGAGAACAUUUACCAAACCUGCACAGAUGACUUUGUUUCACUUAGGGACACUGUUGAGAAAUUAAAACCUGAUCCUCAUAUUUCAGGGCAGUUCAGGAGUUUAACACUUAAGUUUGAAACAUGUUUGCAGACAGAUGACAGCAUACAUAUGUCCAGAGUUCAAUCAUCCAGGUGCUAGGUAAAAGUCUACAAUCAUGGGAUGUCAGAGAGACUGUUCUUGUGGUUAAGUCAUGGAAAAUACUGCUUUAAACAACAACAACAAAAAGCGGCAUGACUGACACAGAGCCAUGUUUGAUGGUCGACUUGCACAUCCUGCAAUGUGUUUUUUGCAUGUGAGCAAAGAUAAAAGAUGUCUUUCACAUCGCAAUACUCCAAAAUCCUGGAUUGUGAUACACAUCAAACUCUGAUUGGCCAAAAUAAGAGCGAAUCAGCGAGCAUGUGCAAAAAUCCAAACAAACAGUGAUUGUAGUGGGACAGUUUGAGUCAUGUGAUCAGUCUUUUCCUUUUCUCUUGUCCUUUUGCCAUCCAUGGAAAUUAUUAGCAAAACUCUUACUUCAUGAACCUUUAGUCUGUUUCAGUUCUGUCUCAGGGCUGAUUAAUGCUUCAAGUCCAGGAGCUUUCUGUCUACUUUCAUCGUUAGUCUGUAUUUUUACAGGUUUUUUUUUUAGAGUAAAGGUCCUUACACACCGGGGCCAACGUGAAUAUAGAACGCGAAAUUACGAAAUAUUCAGAGGCGAAUUUUGACGUGCCUGACUAUACAUAUCAAGCCAACGCGAUUUUGCGACUUUCCGGGGGGAAAAAAGACGCGUUCCGGGUGGAAGUGAGAAGACUGACACAACAGCAGACUGACUGUUUUCAGUUCUGAUUAGACACUAGUGUUGAGAUGACUGUCUGUCAUGAUAGCGUGUACUGAGUCGGGGCCAGCACCAGAUAAGAACAUUAAACUAUAAUCCAUAAACGUAAGGUAACAACCGAGACCUAAUGGUGCUGUGACAGCAACGCCAUUGAGUUUGAGACAGUGAAAAUACAUAUGGUAUGUUGUUUCUGAACUGGUUAGCCCAUGAGCUACAGUUACUUAGCACAGAUGAAAGUUAAAACAAAGAGGUUUAGCAAACUGUUAAAGCACACAAACCAUCGUCAUAUGAGAAAUCCAACGCUAUGACUCUCCACAAGUUGUCCUUCAGGUCGUUAUCUUUGUAAUAUUUGUGCCUUUCAUCAAAAAAGAACACUGCUCUGUGACACGUGAACAAUCAGCCGGUCGGCCAUGUUGGAUAUCUCGGUGAAUCAGACGUCGCAACAACACGCAAUCUGAUUGGACACACAGUAUGCGUAACUUUAGAAAAAUUGUGAUACGAAAAAAUAAAUGCCGCAGGACAGAAAAAUGUUGCUGAUGUGAACGCUUGUAUUGACAGGAUACAGGUUCAAAAAAAAAAAUAUUGACGUCUGAAAUAAUUGAAUGAAAAAAACAUGCGAAAAAACAAAAAUGAAAAGCUAGAUUUUCUCUGUAACUUCCUAAGCUGCCCCUCCAGACUCCCACUGUUCCUGCUCUCCCCCCACGUUCACUUCCUGCAGAGACACACACAACAACAAGAUGGUUGCUAGCAUGAGUGGAAAAAUUGGUUUGGUUUUAUGGUGUCAGACCUCAAGCAAACCACAGUGUUUCCAGUCAUGUCUUUGUCCUUUUGUAGUUUCAUUUUCAGGAGGAAAAAAAUGAUAAAAAUUGUAAAUUUAGUUUUUUGUAAGACUUUUGUGUCCAUGUUGCAGCACAACCUGAAACUGUCAGGGCAGUGUUCAAGCCAGACAUGGAGGAAAAAAUGUAGAAAAUGGAGAAAAGGCUGUGCGUAUUACUUAAAAACUGUAAACAUAUUUUUAAACUUACCUUGCUCUACAACAGAACAGAUGAAACCGAAUAAUUGUUAGACAGCAGGGAAGGAGAGGGGAGGAGCGGUUCUCAUGCCCUCUUGUACAUGCAUUGUGUUACAUCCAUUCACUGGAGAACUGUGAGCACAGCGUCAUAGAAGCUGACUUUGAAUGUUGACUACUAAAAAUGCUGAACUGCAUCGGUUUUGCAUAAAAAAUAGGUGAUACCAGCGCAAACAACGCUGUGAGCAGAUGCAGGCCCUUGUGCACGAGGAAGGUAGACCUGUCUUGUUCUAAUCCUUCCGUUGCCUCAAAGCUUUCCAUUACCUUUGAGGCAGAGAGGAUGCUGAGCAUGUUUCUGACAUGCAGCUCAGACUUGAAUCCUUCUCGGAGAAGGAGUUUUUACUUCCAUGACAGCAGUUCUCCCUCUGAGACCCAGGAGAGAGGAAGAAAGCAGAGGAGUGAGGUGAAACGAGAGAGAGAGGGAGGAGAGAAGUGAGGUGGAGACAGAUCAGUGAAGAGUCUGACCCUCGGGGGGUAUGACGUGCUCUGAGGAUGUGGGCGUACAAGUGGAGGUCUAACAAGUGUGAUUGAGGUUUCUUCAAUACCUUUCACUAUGGGACAAAUUGCCUCCCACUUCCAAAGAGCACUCGCCAGCGCUGCAUUGAUUGGUUACCCAUCAUGCACCUCGGGCUGGAGUUCUUGCUUGUGGCUGUGGUUGGACAUGGUUGGGACAAAAUCAGCUCCAGAGGUAACCUUGUCUUUAUCUGAUUUUUUUGAGGACUGUAAUCAGUCACUGAACCAGAACUUCAAAAUAUGACACCUGGCUUUACUCUGACCUCAGUUUUGUAAACUGUCCUCUUACAUGUGGUCUUGGUGUGCCAUUGAAGUUAGUUUACAUGUUAGUUUGAAAUGAUCUGGACGGGUGUAACAGUCACAAGGUUUUUUUAAAACUAGUGAAUCAGGUUAGUCAACUACAUCUUGUUUAGAUUUUGACGAGACUUCUUUCUGAGUUAUUUAGUCUUUUGCUUUUGUUGUGUGUUGAGGUUGUUGAUGUACAGUUUUAGCUUCGAAACCCAUCUACAUAGGACUGUAGACGUGGUCAUUACAUUGAGAUAAGAUAAGCCUCCCUCUGCCAUCCAUCCUUGAAAGUUUGUGGACUACUAUUUAAAGCCUUGAGUUUGGCAUUUUGGCUUGAAACAUUGCGGUUUUUAUUCCUGCGAAGUUCAGAAUAACCUUGUUUUUGGUCAAUCUGAUUCUAAAUGAUGUCCAAAAUGAAAAUUUUUGUAUUGAAAAGACUUAGAUUUAGAGAUGGAGGCCAUGAACUCCUUUUUACAGUCCAUGUUAGUUGUAAAGUGACCCCAGAAAACACUCUGUCGCUGUCCUUGGUCCUGAAAAUGCCUUGGCCUCAAAUAGCUUUGACAGCUGCUAAUAAAAAUAUUUCUUUCAGCUCCCUUUUUUAGUCCUUCAGAAAUCAACAGCCAGUCCUCUAUGAAUUAAAAAACAUUCCUCAACAACAUUAGAACAAGUCCAGACCUCAUUUUGAAGAGUUACCAGUCUCAGUCUGCCCAUGAAGAACCAAGACUGUCCUGGCCAAAGAUUGGUUGAUACUGUUGCUAGAAAACCUUGCAGUGCUCAGUCUUGUUGCCCUCUGUUCCCUGGUCCAGUCAUAACCCCCAUACUUGGUUCUGCCUUUACUAGUUUUGAUAGCUUUUCAUUGGCAAUCUGUAAGAAGCAAAGUGGUUCAGAUUUUUCUAAGGAGAUGGAAACAUUUUGUUAUUCAUACUUGCUCUGAUUCCACAUUUCUCCGCACUGACAUUAACAAGAAUAUUCAAAAAAAUACAUAAAUUUUUUAAAGCUCUGGGCUUUGUUUCCUGCUUUGGUCACUCUCCAGUACAUGUUCCAACAUGUAGUUCGAACCCUGAAUCUGAAAACACUCCAUUUGGAGGCCAAUUGGGGGUCUAUUAGGAGCCGAGAUGACCACCACCCUUCUUGUUAGUGUGAGCCAAUGUGGGAAACUGUCUCUGAUGGUUAGACGGUGUUACAGAUCAGUGCAUCAGUGCUCGGGUUAGGUUGGAUCAGAUGAUAGCUGAUGAGAAGACUUCAUAGAGAAUGUAUUUCUGUCUGAUAAAACAGAAUUUGAUGAACUAAUGUUGCAUCACGAUCGUACAAAAUCACAUUUUCUGUUUUAUAACUCAUUUCCAACCCUGUAGAGACCCGAUCCAAAGCCUGGAGAAACCGUCCGUAGGCUGAUUAAUCUCGGUUUCCUUUAGGUAGUAUAACGAAAACCCUGUUCAACAUUUUGUAAAGCUGUACACAGACGAGUUAAUGUACAAUACUCUAAUAGUUACUAGUUUAAAGUACUGAUGUUUCUGUAAAUAAACACCACAUAACUCACACAUACUGAAUUAUCCCAAAGAGAGGAGCUGUGUUCUUGAAAGUAUAUGAGUAUAUUGACCUCCACAUGUACAGAGCAUGUACUUACCGUGAUCAAAGGACAUUGUGAACUGUAUUUAUUUUUGUCAGAGUAUUGGUAUAAAAAAAUUCAGCUUCAUGGCAUCAGUUAAGUGAUAAAUCAUUUUCACAACACUGAAGAGUAACUGAUUCAUUCAUUCAAACAAAUGUUUUAUAUUGGGAGCUGGAAAUAUGUAUGAUACAUGUCUAAGAAAAGGAAACACCCACGUAUAAAAAUGUCUUAGUAAUGUUUCCUUUUAUGUUGUCUAUUUCUGUAAAUAUACUGUAUAUACUGUAAAUUUAAGAUCCAGCGCCAUACCAGGGUUCUGUUUAGAUUGAAUUGGGAAAACUUUGUGAGGAGUAAGUCAAUACUUAAUGAUUAUGUGGAAGUUAUUUGUUUGCAAUCAGAAUUAAAAAAUGAGUUAAAUCUGGAUCAAAUUUCUCCAGAUUUGAUGAUCCACUUUUUGCCAUUCAGGAUCAGGUGAUCCAGUGAACUUUUGUUCUAGUUUGUGAAGAAAAACUUGAUCAACCUGGUCGAGACAAAGACCCAUUAAGAUGACUAAUUUUGGAUUAAAAGAGUCCUGAAUGGGACUUUGUCUGACAUAUUUUGUCCACAGGAGGGCGCCAAAAUCAGCACAUACUGAAAGAUUCUUAAUUGUUUUUAAGGGCUGGACCGGUGGACUAGUUUAUGGGAACAAAUAAAUCUAUUUUUUUGUAUAUUUUUUCUUAAGGUUUCCAGAAAACAAAGUUAUUAUCAAGAUGAAAACUUGCCUGCUACUGUUAUUGGCACAAAACAGCUGUAAAAGUUAAUUAACAGAUUCAGCAGGUAUGGAUAUUUCUGCAGGUGUAUUAUUUUGUAAUUAUUGGCCACAAAGGAAACAGACAGAAAAUAGAGACAGGAAACAAACCUUAGAUGCAGAACUAAAUGUCUUUAUUAAAAGAAAAAGAAAUUUAUCAGCAGAGGUAGAAUCAAAUCCUGCUUGUCUUGUUUUAAUUACGGCUCUAAAACAAAUAGACCAUCACAAUAAAAUUUAUUAAAUUUCCUUUAAUUCUGUCUCAGAUUGAUUCUGUUACCAGUGAAAAUGCAACCCUGUUUCCCAAAAGCUAAAACUGGAAUAUUUGAUCCAAACUGUUUUCAUAAUUGUUUUCUCCUUUUGAAAACAUUAUUUUUUGGGGGGUACGGUCCAGUCCUGUUUCUUAAUUCCCACCAGAUUAUGUCUAGAAAACUCAGGCCUGGGGUUUAAACAAAGGCUGUUCAAAUCUGUGACAGCUUCUAAUAAUUUAUUCUAAAACCUUUUUGUGUAAAACUUGUAGGACGGAAAAGUCCUCCACUUACGUAAGACCGUCUCAAGUGUGACUUUAAAUAUCAAACCCUGCGCUCCUGGGUAGUGAGUUAUUUCCCACAUGGACCUCAAAGCAGUCAAUAAGUGUUGAUUUACUCUUUAUAUUAAUUUCUUCCCUUCUCUUUGGUUUCAGCGGGGCUCUUGGUAAAAGCCCUCUGGUGUUUUGGUUUCUCUGUAUUACAGCUGUUUGUAAUUUUCAUGUAAAAUACCAUCUGAGUAGAGGCAACAUUUUUAAAAACAACACGAAGCAUCGCUGGACUCAUUACAAAGCUAAUAUUACUUUUUAAAUGAAGUGUAUUAAAGAUAUAUCAGAAACAACCUGUGUUGAUACAAAACUGUACUUCAAAUAAAAGCACAAGCUGUCAAAA